RNAcentral lists this unclassified non-coding RNA (157 nucleotides) under uncultured Basidiomycota. RNAcentral's name for it is "sequence contains ITS1". The record is from RNAcentral. Lineage: Eukaryota; Fungi; Basidiomycota.
UUGAAUUGGCCCUUGUGGUCUAAUUCCAUCCCAUACCUUUGUGAACUGUUUUGGUUACUUUGGCGGGGUCGCAGUGAUUGCGCCCGAAUUAGGGACUCCCCGCCAAGGGUUUUUUUCAAACCUGUUUUAAGAGUUAGAAAGUUAUUAUUCAAUUAUA